RNAcentral lists this ribosomal RNA (253 nucleotides) under uncultured bacterium. RNAcentral's name for it is "partial 16S ribosomal RNA". It matches the Rfam family "Bacterial small subunit ribosomal RNA", at positions 524 to 776 of the family's 1533-position model. The record is from RNAcentral.
UACGAAGGGGGCUAGCGUUGCUCGGAAUCACUGGGCGUAAAGCGCACGUAGGCGGCUUUUUAAGUCAGUGGUGAAAUCCUGGAGCUCAACUCCAGAACUGCCUUUGAUACUGAGAAGCUUGAGUCCGGGAGAGGUGAGUGGAACUGCGAGUGUAGAGGUGAAAUUCGUAGAUAUUCGCAAGAACACCAGUGGCGAAGGCGGCUCACUGGCCCGGUACUGACGCUGAGGUGCGAAAGCGUGGGGAGCAAACAGG